CCACAUACACAAAGCACAGGCGAGCACUGCUUAGCACUGCCCGCGCUGAAGCUCUGGAGAAGCCCCGCGGUGAGCCCUCAGCACCGACUGCAGUAAACGUCGGACCCUGACAGAGGAUCCCGCUCCUGCGACACCGAGGUGGACGACUCAAGUUGGUCCCAAGAAAGAAUGUAAAGCCUUACCACGCACCGAAAUCUGCUGACACCCCCACACCAGACAGUUCCUCUACAAGCACAAGCCAAGAAGCCAGCACCCAGACCUGAACCACGCUGCGUCAUCAAAAGAAAAAUGGACUUUCUAUUGUUUAAUGCGUGCAUAUUGUUUUUGUUCUUCUGUUUCAGUUUUUAUAUUGAAGUUUUACUUAUAAUUCAACCAAGAACAAAUGCCGAGUAGCUUUAGCCAAGCCUGCAAGCUCUAAGACCACCUAUAUAUCUAACACGAACCCUAACAAACCUUUUUCAACCCGUUUAAUUAUAAGACCUUUUCCAAAAAAAAUUCUGACAAUGCCUCCCCUACUAUAAUCAGUGAUUUAAUAACAAUAAAGCCAUCUCAGCUACACAGUUGACUUAAUGGUUCGAGACUUGCACCGUGGCUAAAGGAACUCUGUAAAAUAAGCUUAACUGUUUCAGUAGCAAUAAGUAUAGUUCUAGUAACAAUACCCUGUACACCUCCAAGUGUGCAGAAAAUAGUUGUUAAAUCAAUAUCUAAUAUUUCAAA
This is a non-coding RNA of Taeniopygia guttata (zebra finch), 717 nucleotides long. Lineage: Eukaryota; Metazoa; Chordata; Aves; Passeriformes; Estrildidae. The record is from RefSeq and is a predicted model, not a curated record.